CUUCCCUUAGGGGUACCUGCGGAAGGAGCAAGAAAGAGGUCAUGCCGAAGGGUAGACCUCCCACCCUUGUGUAUUAUUACUUUGUUGCUUUGGCGAGCUGCCUUCGGGCCUUGUAUGCUCGCCAGAGAAUACCAAAACUCUUUUUAUUAAUGUCGUCUGAGUACUAUAUAAUAGUUAAAACUUUCAACAACGGAUCUCUUGGUUCUGGCAUCGAUGAAGAACGCAGCGAAAUGCGAUAAGUAAUGUGAAUUGCAGAAUUCAGUGAAUCAUCGAAUCUUUGAACGCACAUUGCGCCCCUUGGUAUUCCGGGGGGCAUGCCUGUUCGAGCGUCAUUUCAACCCUCAAGCUUAGCUUGGUAUUGAGUCUAUGUCAGUAAUGGCAGGCUCUAAAAUCAGUGGCGGCGCCGCUGGGUCCUGAACGUAGUAAUAUCUCUCGUUACAGGUUCUCGGUGUGCUUCUGCCAAAACCCAAAUUUUUCUAUGGUGACCUCGGAUCAGGUAGAGACACCCGCUGAACUUAAGCAUAUCAAAAGUAGGAAGGAAA
Molecule: ribosomal RNA, 542 nt
Filed under: Botrytis cinerea
Lineage: Eukaryota; Fungi; Ascomycota; Leotiomycetes; Helotiales; Sclerotiniaceae
Description: eukaryotic LSU rRNA
Rfam family: 5.8S ribosomal RNA (bases 179-332)
Source: RNAcentral